GCCCCUGCUGCACAACAGACUGGCUUCAAUCUGCUUGAUGCAUGAACCCCAGUUGGACUUCAGCUUGUGCCCUGACUACAGAUGCUGGUCUGGAAUCGGCCCACAAGACUCCUUGAGGUCCAAAUGCAGCCUGAAAGGAGUCCCACAAUCUGAAUCCAGCUUGGGAUAACAGACGAGACAAAGAUUUGUAGUAAGGACAGAGAAACAGAAGCAUUCACAGAAGAACAAGCUCAAGGUCACCCAGAAGAUCGCUGGCACAACUGGUGACAGAACCCUGUGUUGGAUAGAGUAAGUCAGGAGACGUAUCUGUUAAUCCACAUUGCCUCAACUGCUGAUUAUUUGCAUAUCUUUAAGACCUUGUGUGCACUGCAGUAAACUGGACCUUAAUUCUUUAGCAAGGUUUGCUACUUCCCAAGGCACAAUGGAAAGCCUG
Long non-coding RNA from Alligator sinensis (Chinese alligator), 433 nucleotides. RefSeq lists it as uncharacterized. The transcript is spliced from 4 exons. Lineage: Eukaryota; Metazoa; Chordata; Crocodylia; Alligatoridae. The record is from RefSeq and is a predicted model, not a curated record.